CUGUUGCCUCGGGCCCCACCCCUGCUUUGGCCCCGGGCCCCCCGGUGGAAAUCUCCCAGACACCGCAUCUGUGAGUCCGAAUAUAAAUUAAAUCAAUUUAAAACUUUCAACAACGGAUCUCUUGGUUCUGGCAUCAAUGCAGAACACAGCGAUAAUGUGAUAAGUAAUGUGAAUUGCAAAAUUCAGUGAAUCAUCUAAUCUUUGAACCCACAUUGCGCCCCCUGUUAUUCCGGGGGGCAUGCCUGUUCGAGCUUCAUUACACCACUCAUGCCUGGCUUGGUAUUGGAGGCCGCGAGCGAUCGCGCCUCUCACAGUCGCCGGCUGAGCCGUCCGUCUCCAAGCGUUGUGCCAACUAUCCUCGAGCGAGACCCGGGCGACCCGGCCGUUAAACCCCCCAUCGGAGGUUGACCUCGGAUCAUGUAGAGAUACCCGCUGAACUUAAGCAUAU
This 448-nucleotide ribosomal RNA is filed under the name uncultured Teratosphaeria. RNAcentral describes it as "eukaryotic LSU rRNA". The stretch from base 102 to 256 matches the Rfam family "5.8S ribosomal RNA". RNAcentral also lists the same sequence under 1 other name. The record is from RNAcentral. Lineage: Eukaryota; Fungi; Ascomycota; Dothideomycetes; Mycosphaerellales; Teratosphaeriaceae.